Long non-coding RNA from Triticum aestivum (bread wheat), 544 nucleotides. RefSeq lists it as uncharacterized. Lineage: Eukaryota; Viridiplantae; Streptophyta; Magnoliopsida; Poales; Poaceae. The transcript has 2 exons. The record is from RefSeq and is a predicted model, not a curated record.
ACCUCGCCGAAACCUCACUUCCAACUCCGAAGUCCUAACCCCACGAACCCCGAAGCCGAUCCAUGGCGGCGGCGGCGGGUUGGCUCCGGCGAGCGGCAUCAGCGGCGGCGUUGCCUCGCCUGCCUUCUGGAAUCACCCUCACGCCAAGCCUUCCCCCUCUGCUCUCUCCGAGGCUCAGCCGAUGUGCUCCCCGGCCUUGGCGCCGCCAUCGCCCCUGCUAUGGAACUCAUGGCCGUCCCCAAGAAGAAGAAGAAAUGGCGUUCACCUAAUUCUUAUUUGUUGCUGACAUGGACGCUUUGGGUAGAGGCCAGUGAAGAUUUCAUUAAUGCACCAUGUGUACAAUGUACAAUGCAAUUUGUGUCUCCUGCUACAUGUUUAUUUUUCUGCUGUUUAUGUCUUGGCAGAACUGAUUAGUUAUAAUUACUAUGAACAUUGUUGUGUAUGUUGUCAUACCAAGCCAAUUUGUAUCUAUGAACAUGGUGAUUUACCUUGAUCACUGAAUAAUGUAUAAUUAUGUUUAUGUAAAUUCAAUAUGUUUUAUCUA